Hyaena hyaena (striped hyena) is the source of this 138-nucleotide small nucleolar RNA. NCBI's taxonomy places the organism in Eukaryota, Metazoa, Chordata, Mammalia, Carnivora, Hyaenidae. The record is from RefSeq and is a predicted model, not a curated record.
GUGCAAACUCGAUCACUAACUCUGCAUGAUGUUGCAGAAGUGAGGGGAACCAGGUUUGCUAAAGUAAUUGUGGUGAUAGAAAUGUAUUAGCCUCAGAAGCUACUUAACUGAGCUGACCCAUUCUGUCCCAGUACAGUA